GGGCCCAUAGCUCAGUUGGUAGAGCAGCGGACUCAUAAUCCGUAGGUCCGAGGUUCGAGUCCUCGUGGGCCCA
This 73-nucleotide transfer RNA is filed under the name Candidatus Aerophobota bacterium. RNAcentral describes it as "tRNA-Ile". It matches the Rfam family "tRNA". Rfam says of the family: Transfer RNA (tRNA) molecules are approximately 80 nucleotides in length. Their secondary structure includes four short double-helical elements and three loops (D, anti-codon, and T loops). Further hydrogen bonds mediate the characteristic L-shaped molecular structure. tRNAs have two regions of fundamental functional importance: the anti-codon, which is responsible for specific mRNA codon recognition, and the 3' end, to which the tRNAs corresponding amino acid is attached (by aminoacyl-tRNA synthetases). tRNAs cope with the degeneracy of the genetic code in two manners: having more than one tRNA (with a specific anti-codon) for a particular amino acid; and 'wobble' base-pairing, i.e. permitting non-standard base-pairing at the 3rd anti-codon position. Lineage: Bacteria; Candidatus Aerophobota. RNAcentral also lists the same sequence under 1 other name. The record is from RNAcentral.